This is a long non-coding RNA of Panicum virgatum (switchgrass), 2123 nucleotides long. RefSeq lists it as uncharacterized. The record is from RefSeq and is a predicted model, not a curated record. Lineage: Eukaryota; Viridiplantae; Streptophyta; Magnoliopsida; Poales; Poaceae. The transcript has 3 exons.
CCGGAGGACGCGUACCUCCUCCCGAAGCCUGUCCAUUGCCAGGAACAGCACAGGUUGAGCGCCGGAUGGAGCCCCAUGAUUCCCUGCGCCGCUGCCUCUGGACGCUUGAGCACCUCCCUGGCCGGCGCCCGAGUUACCUCCCCUGGGAACGGCACCACCCGAGCCCCGACCACCUUGGCCAUUGCCAGAGCCUCCCGCACCAGCGGCCGCAGAUCUACCUCCUCCUCCUGGGCCGCCGCGACCACGCUGACAGCGGCCAGGAGCCACACCACGGCCAGGCGGGCCAUGGCCCCGAUUUCUUCCCCGAUGUCCACCUGCCAUGAGCGCAGCGAGGUUUUCCAAUGACAGGUUCAGUUGCGGCACGGAGCGGCCCAACCCGAGGCGUGUGGCGAGUCGACCCCGAGUCUGGUCGGCCUGACCGAUUCCAAAAUUGAAUCCGCAGAGAUUUCGGAUCAGCGCAAUCACCACCCCUCUAACCAGAAGCUCCGCCGCUAGCCAUCUUCAAUGCCGGGAUGAGGAAAUCCCCCAAAGUCCUCGCCGGCGUGGUCCUCAGUGGAGGUAGCGGCCCUUUCCACAUCUUUUUCCAUGGUGGCUAAACCCUGCCAGGAGAGGGCAGUGAGGAUCCAUGCUCCUUCCUCCUCGCCUGAGAUGGAGGAGACGGCGCAGUAUCCUUGCCUGAAUGCGCCGCAGCGGGUGGCCGCGAAGCCGGAGAAGGAACCGAACGCCGGUGCGACUGAGCCAAGACGUCAGCAUCACCAAGGUGGCCGCGAAGCCGGAGAAGGAACCGAACGCCGGUGCGACUGAGCCAAGACGUCAGCAUCACCAAGGCCCUCACAAUCAGAAUCGGAGUCAGAAUCCCAAAACUUCCCUGUUCGUGCGCAAAGAGGCGCACUCGAACAGAGCAAAAUCUCCUCUCUAGCCAAGAGCAUCUUCUGCUUGUCGAACUCAAGAUCGAGUUGUCGCGAUGGUUCCUUCGCCGUGACUUGUCGCAGCGCCUUCCGAACCGACGGGGCAACCGGCAUCACCGCGGACACCUACGCUCGCCCCGGCGCCCUUCGGUUGAUCUUCGCCACUGCGCUCUCGACAGGGCCGCCGGUUCCAAGAUUGUCCCUAAACUUUCAAAUCGUGCAUAACUCUGGUAAGUGUUUCAUCGGAGGCCCCAAAAACGCCACGCAAGCGUUUGAAGACAACAUGACAUACCACGUGGCGCCAUGGUGGUAAAAAUUUACAAAAAUCCUCCCCAAUUUCAUGGCAUUAAAACACAUGGCACAUCAUCAGUUUUUGCUGAGUUGGCGAGGUAAUUAAGAGGAGAGAGAGGUGAGAAGCGUUUCAUGGUGAUGAAACAAUGUUGGCCCGAUUACCAAGCCACAUGAAACCGAACGAAACUCCCACCGAGACCCUCUUCGUUUCAUCGCCGGAUCUCCUACUCCGGCUGCGUGCGCUCGCGCCGUCUCCACCUCCGACCAGUCCACGCCAAAUCCCACCCUCCCCGCUUCCAAAUCGCCGGGCAAAUCACGCCCUACCCGCUCCCCUUGCUCACAGAUCCCCUUUCCUUGCUGCAAGUGCUCGCCGACUGGCCAAGUUCAGCAACGGUCGUCCCUCACCUCGAGCUUGGCGUAGGGGAUAUGUCUUUCCAUUGCCAAGGCAAACGACCUUCCCUGCUCGGACAUGGCUCGGCAAAGCGUGGCGCCGCCACUUAUUCUCCGACGGCUCCAACACUGGCGGCGGCAGAGCCACCGCAGCCCACCUCCCAACUGGUCCAUGGUGGCCUGGAUGUGGAGUUAGCAGCGCCAACUCGUCAUCCCCACAUGAAAACCAUCCCUCAAAUCCAUGCUUCAAUGUUUGGCACUUCGGAGCAUCAAGUGGUUUGUGUUUUUAGGGAACAAAAUGGCAAGAAAAAUGAAGAUGGAAGGCUUGAGGAGAUGGACAAAAUUCUGAAUGCCAUUUGGUCCAUAUCCAAAUGUGAAACAGACUUUAGCUAUUUAGUUCAAUACUUCGUAUCAAUGCGAAAUUGAUCCAUAUCCAAAUGUCAAACUGCUCUGAACCUUGGUAGUGCAUCUUGUCAGACACGUUAAACUGCUCCACUUAUGAAUUGUGAGUUGCCUGACAUGGUGAUAGUUUUA